This is a non-coding RNA of Nerophis lumbriciformis (worm pipefish), 505 nucleotides long. Lineage: Eukaryota; Metazoa; Chordata; Actinopteri; Syngnathiformes; Syngnathidae. The record is from RefSeq and is a predicted model, not a curated record.
GACUGGAGGAAAAAAGACGGAAUUUCCCAGAGUUCCUUGUAAACAAACAUAAGGCAAGACGACUACUUGUAAAACAAGCCAGCUAGCAAUAAUACGAAUUAUCUUCGAGCAGCUCGCUCGGGGAGGGAAGAAGCGGGACGGAUGAAUGAUUGCCAGCAGAGAGGAGGAGGCGGAUGUUUGAAGACGUUAAACCGACACCAGGAAGCACAACCACAAUCACCGCGGGGAUUUAUUUAUGCUUCCCCUGUCUCCCGUGAUUGACCUGUUUGCCUCGACUUCCCACUGGAUUCCGGACUGCCUCCCUCGAUCCUCGACCCCCGCUUGGACACGGACCUCGUUGCUUCUCUCCAGCCCCGACCGUUUGCCUGCCCACAGACAGCCUUCUCGCCUAACCCCUUUGGUCUGACGAAGGAUUCAUCCAACACGCACAUACAACAACCUCUGGUAACAUUCACAUGGUUAAUUCUACACAUCGUCUUGCACCUGACACUUAGAGUAGCAUACA